GACGAAGGGGGCUAGCGUUGUUCGGAAUUACUGGGCGUAAAGCGAGUGUAGGUGGUUGUCCAAGUUGGAUGUGAAAGCCUUGAGCUCAACUCAAGAAAUUGCAUUCAGGACUGGAUGGCUAGAGGACCGGAGAGGAUAGUGGAAUUCCCAGUGUAGUGGUGAAAUACGUAGAGAUUGGGAAGAACACCAGUGGCGAAGGCGGCUA
This 205-nucleotide ribosomal RNA is filed under the name uncultured bacterium. Its description in RNAcentral is "partial 16S ribosomal RNA". It matches the Rfam family "Bacterial small subunit ribosomal RNA", at positions 524 to 727 of the family's 1533-position model. The record is from RNAcentral.